RNAcentral lists this ribosomal RNA (633 nucleotides) under Malassezia furfur. RNAcentral describes it as "partial large subunit ribosomal RNA". It matches the Rfam family "Eukaryotic large subunit ribosomal RNA", at positions 37 to 657 of the family's 3401-position model. The record is from RNAcentral. Lineage: Eukaryota; Fungi; Basidiomycota; Malasseziomycetes; Malasseziales; Malasseziaceae.
UGCAUAUCAAUAAGCGGAGGAAAAGAAACUAACAAGGAUUCCCCUAGUAACGGCGAGUGAAGAGGGAAGAGCUCAAAUUUGAAAGCUGGUACCUUCGGUAUCCGCGUUGUAACCUCGAGACACGUUUUCCGUGCGGCGCUAUGGACAAGUUCCUUGGAACAGGACAUCGUAGAGGGUGAAAAUCCCGUACUUGCCAUGGAUGUACCGUGCUUUGCGAUACGUGCUCUAAGAGUCGAGUUGUUUGGGAUUGCAGCUCAAAAUGGGUGGUAGACUCCAUCUAAAGCUAAAUAUCGGGGAGAGACCGAUAGCGAACAAGUACCGUGAGGGAAAGAUGAAAAGCACUUUGGAAAGAGAGUUAAAAGUACGUGAAAUUGUCGAAAGGGAAGCGCUUGAAGUCAGCCAUGCCGCUCAGGACUCAGCCUGGCUUUUGCUUGGUGUAUUUCCUGGGUAGCAAGUCAGCAUUGGUUUGGAUCGUCGGAGAAGCAUAGUCGGAAUGUGGCGCCCUCGGGCGUGUUAUAGCCUUCUAUUGGAUACGACGAUCUAGACCAAGGAACGCAGCGCGCCUUAUGGCGGGUCUUCGGACACCUUCGCGCUUAGGAUGCUGGCGUAAUGGCUUUAAGUGGCCCGUCUUGA